AGUGAACGCUGGCGGUAGGCCUAACACAUGCAAGUCGAACGGCCGCACAGUAAGAGCUUGCUCUUACGGGUGGCGAGUGGCGGACGGGUGCGGUAUACAUCGGAAUAUACUUUUUAGCGGGGGAUAACGCCGGGAAACUCACGCUAAUACCGCAUACGACCUACGGGUGAAAGCAGGGGAUCUUCGGACCUUGCGCGAGAGAAUGAGCCGAUUUUGGAUUAGCUAGAUGGCGGGGUAAAGGCCCACCAAGGCGACGAUCCUUAGGUGGUCAGAGGGGAUGGUCCGCCACCCUGUAUCUGAGGCUCGGUCCAGACUCCUACGGGAGGCAGCAGUGGGGACUAUUGCACGAUGCGGCCGUGCCUGAUCCAGCCCUAUCGCCUGGGUGAAGAAGGCCUUCUGGUUGUUGAGCGCUUUUGUUGUGAGAAUAAAGCAGCACUUUCAUCCCCCGCUGUUCUGACGGUACCCAAAGAAUAAGCACCGGCUAACUUCGUG
RNAcentral lists this ribosomal RNA (492 nucleotides) under uncultured bacterium. Its description in RNAcentral is "partial 16S ribosomal RNA". It matches the Rfam family "Bacterial small subunit ribosomal RNA", at positions 29 to 507 of the family's 1533-position model. The record is from RNAcentral.